This 67-nucleotide transfer RNA is filed under the name Idioscopus clypealis. RNAcentral describes it as "tRNA-Asn". The record is from RNAcentral. Lineage: Eukaryota; Metazoa; Arthropoda; Insecta; Hemiptera; Cicadellidae.
UUAACUGAAGCCAAAAAGAGGCAUCUUAAUGUUAAUAAGAAAACUGUAUAUUUAUAUUCCAGUUAAA